UUCUUCUUCUUCGUCGCUUAUCCAAGGAAAAGCAGAGGCUCCGUCGUCUCCUUCGUCGCGAUUAUGGAAAUGCCCGCCUUUCAUCGGAGCUGAGCUAUGGCGCUCGCACCAUUUCCGCCGCCGAAUCCCUCCUAUCCUCCUCCCGCCCGCGCUCGCGCGCUCGCUCGCCCUCCUCCGCUUCGGCUCCUCCUCCUCCGGCGAAGCUGCGAAGUCGUCCGGUUCAGGACCCGCUGCUCGGACCGGCCGGUUCAAUUCGAGGCCCGGCCGACCAGAGUCCCGUUCGAUGCAGGGAGGAAGAAGCGGAAGCGGAGGCCGAGCUUCUUCGAGGAAAUCCGCGGCAAGUGGACGAGCAAAACCGGUUCGGCCCGGGAGAGGUUCCCCUGGCAGGUGGAGGAGCGAGAGCCGCCGCGAGAGCAGUGCGAAGACGAAAGCUUGGUGAGCCGGGAAGCGUCUGAUGAAGCUGUUGAAGUAUCAUCUGAGCGUGAGCGUGAUGUUGAGUCGCCGGUGACGGAUGGCGUCAUGGCGCAUGCCGUUUCAGUUAAUCAGUCUAGGUUGCCUCCUUGGUUGGUUCAUGGAUAUAAUAAACCCUCUCCAGAACCCAUCCGCGACGAUGAAAGCGAAGCUUCGCGAUCAGGCUCGGAGGGAGAGGAAAUUGAGGAGGUUAGGGAGCGUUUGGGUGAUGGCAAUGUUGUUAGAGCUGGCGAGUCGAUUAGUGAAGUUGAUUUUGGCGGGGAGUUCGAUACAGAAGAUGAUGAAUGGGAGAAACUGUCCCCAGUUCCUCGACAAGGUGAGAAUUUGUCACUCGCCUUUGGAGGAUUGAGAGUGAGUGACUUUUUGUCCGAUGAUGAGAAUCAUCAGGGGAAUGAUGAGUUGGAGAAGCUUGAUGUUUCUGGGGAGAGUGGAAACAAGGGUUCAGUGGACUUGCCAUGGAAGAGUGGAGAGAGGAAGCAGAGCAAUGUGGAUUUGGCGGAGAGAGUGCUUCCGCAACAUGAGCUCAGGAGGCUCAGGAAAAUUGCUCUGAGGAUGGUGGAGAGGAAGAAAGUUGGGGAUGCAGGGAUUACUCAGGCUUUAGUGGAUUCUAUACAUGAGAAGUGGAGAGUGGAUGAAGUGGUGAAGUUGAAGUUUGAAGGUGCCCUGUCACUUAACAUGAAAAGAACCCAUCAGAUUUUGGAGAGUAGGACUGGAGGCUUGGUUAUAUGGAGAUCUGGAAGUUCAGUGGUGUUGUACCGAGGGAUGGCCUAUAAGCUUCCUUGUGUCCAAUCGUACAGCAAAAAAAUACAGGCCAGUGUAAGUUCUCUGAAAAAUGAGGACAUAGCCAGCAAUGUUUUUCAUAGUGAAGGAGGAAUGGAGUUUUCCAAAAACAAGGGCCGAAUUUUAUGUGGUUCUGCAGAAUAUAUGAAGGAUCUAUCUAAGGAAGAAUUCAUGGAUAUGAAUGAUCCUAACGAUUUAUUAGAUGAGUUGGGUCCACGGUUCAAGGAUUGGUCAGGCUGUGACCCAGUUCCAGUUGAUGCUGACUUGCUAUCUUCAGAGGUUCCUGGAUAUAAAACUCCAUUUAGGCUUCUUGCUUAUGGGGUUGGACAUUGUCUGAGAAACAAAGAGAUGACCAUGUUUCGUAGACUAGCAAGAACGAUGCCUCCGCAUUUUGCCCUGGGAAGAAACAGAAGGCUGCAAGGUCUUGCUAAGGCCAUGGUAAAGUUGUGGGAGAGCAGUGCUAUUGCAAAAAUAGCAAUUAAACGCGGCGUGCCAAAUACUUGCAAUGAUAGAAUGGCUGAAGAACUGAAGAAUUUAACUGGGGGAACACUACUCUCUAGGAACAAAGAUUAUAUUGUGUUUUACAGGGGUAAUGACUUCAUGCCUCCUGCAGUGGUAGAAGCACUGAAAGAGAGAGCAAAACUAGCAGAUGUCCAGGCAAAUGAGGAAGACCAAGCACGUCAGAGGGCCUCAGCCGCAAUUGAUUCAAAAUUAAAAGCUUCUAAAAGCCAACUUGUUGCUGGCACUCUUACUGAAACUCUGGCUGCCACCUCUCGGUGGGGGAAUGAAUUAAGUAGCAAAGAUUUUGAGCAAAUGCGUAGAGAGGAAUCACUCAAUAAGCAUGCUUCACUCUUGAAAUAUCUUGAGAAGAAACUUGCUCUUGCAAAAGGGAAGGUCAAAAAGGCUGAGAAAGCUCUAGCGAAAGUGCAGGAGAAUCUGAGACCGGCAGACCUUCCAGUUGAUCUGGAAACCAUAAGCGAUGAGGAGAGAUCUCUACUUCGUAAGAUUGGUCUGAGUAUGAAGCCUUUCCUGCUUAUUGGAAAGCGUGCCAUUUUUGACGGUACCAUAGAGAACGUGCACUUGCAUUGGAAGUAUCGCGAGUUGGUAAAAUUAAUUGUGAGGGGAAAAAGUUUUGCACAAGUGAAGCAUCUUGCAAUUUCUUUAGAGGCUGAAAGUGGUGGAGUGCUGGUAUCCGUAGAUAAGACUAUGAAAGGCUAUGCUAUCAUCAUUUAUCGUGGGAAGAAUUAUCAAAGGCCUCGUGCAGUGAGACCCAGAAAUUUGCUGACUAGAAGGCAGGCAUUGGCUCGCUCUAUUGAACUUCAGAGACGUGAGGCACUUAAGCAUCAUCUUUCAGACUUGCAGGAGCGGAUUGAGCAGUUAAAAUACGAACUUGAAGAUAUGAGAGUAAACAACCAGAUUGAUGAAGAAAAACUUUCUAGAUCACUUAAUGCCGGCUCGACAAUAGAUGACACAUCCGAGGACGAAGGAGAGGAGGCAUACCUUGGAGUUUAUGACAGUGGAGUGGAGGAUGCUUGAAGGAAUUGAGAAGCUCGUUCAUGAAAAAAAAUUGAUCAUCCAGGCAGCCCUACUUAUUGUUGGAAGCGGACUUCCCGCUAAUGACAGUGAGAGAACAUCAACCAUCGAUACACUGUUGCACCAAUUCACAAUCUCCCGAAGCGAAUAUGGUGACACAAGAGACUUGAUGGAACAGACUGGUCCUGUGGUGGCUCAUGAGACAACAGUAGGUGGUCCGAGAUGUGGUUGCAGUUGUUCACUACCCCAAAGUCCAUAUUUCCAACUAGAGCAUUCGCGGAAGAAACCAGCGAAUUGGCUCUCUCACCUCAAAAAACUGCCCGCUGGCAGUUUCAGCUAAUUUUUUGUCAUUAGGUCUGCGAUAUUGUAGUAGAUGACUUGAAACUCAGCCACGAGUGUUUGUAAGCACAGAUUACUGUAGGGGCGCAUGAAAUUAAGCCUUUGUAGAUGCACAAAUGAGGUAAGACAUCGAUGUAGCCAAGUCAUGUGUCAUAAACUAGUAAUCGCUGAUGAGCAUAAUAUUGGCAGAUGACACGGUGGAUGUAGCGAUGCCAGAGUCCAACAUAAGUUCCUCAAGCCAGUAUUUCAUACUGGAUGCAAUGACGUACCAUUUUAAGUGGAUUCAUUUCUCAAAA
Syzygium oleosum is the source of this 3419-nucleotide RNA transcript. It is a transcript of the gene named CRM-domain containing factor CFM3, chloroplastic/mitochondrial, with no coding region annotated. The record is from RefSeq and is a predicted model, not a curated record. Lineage: Eukaryota; Viridiplantae; Streptophyta; Magnoliopsida; Myrtales; Myrtaceae. The transcript has 11 exons.